Molecule: ribosomal RNA, 200 nt
Filed under: uncultured bacterium
Lineage: Bacteria
Description: partial 16S ribosomal RNA
Rfam family: Bacterial small subunit ribosomal RNA
Source: RNAcentral
GAUGAACGCUGGCGGCAGGCCUAACACAUGCAAGUCGAGCGGUAGAGAGGUGCUUGCACCUCUUGAGAGCGGCGGACGGGUGAGUAAUGCCUAGGAAUCUGCCUGGUAGUGGGGGAUAACGCUCGGAAACGGACGCUAAUACCGCAUACGUCCUACGGGAGAAAGCAGGGGGACCUUCGGGCCUUGCGCUAUCAGAUGAG